CUGUGGCAAACAAUGGAGGCCUGGGGAAAACAGCAAAUGGGCAGCUUGUUUGCAGCGCCACGUCUUACAGCUGCGCACAUGUGCCCUCAACAACCGAGCUGGAGAACUGGGUGACAUUCAGCGCCACUUGCCACACCUGGUCUGUGAAACACGCCGCUUUGAGAACGUCAGAACUGUUUAAGCUGCACACAAAAGACGGCCAAGAAAUAUCUCAGACUAUAACGCUG
Molecule: non-coding RNA, 227 nt
Organism: Oryctolagus cuniculus (rabbit)
Lineage: Eukaryota; Metazoa; Chordata; Mammalia; Lagomorpha; Leporidae
Source: RefSeq, a predicted model, not a curated record